GAGGGAAACGCCCGGUUACAUUCCGAACCCGGAAGCUAAGCCUUACAGCGCCGAUGGUACUGCAGGGGGGACCCUGUGGGAGAGUAGGACGCCGCCGAAC
This 100-nucleotide ribosomal RNA is filed under the name Streptomyces sp. ISL-24. Lineage: Bacteria; Bacillati; Actinomycetota; Actinomycetes; Kitasatosporales; Streptomycetaceae. The record is from RNAcentral.